This 207-nucleotide long non-coding RNA is filed under the name Carica papaya (papaya). RNAcentral's name for it is "long non-coding RNA (CPAP_LNC003767)". Lineage: Eukaryota; Viridiplantae; Streptophyta; Magnoliopsida; Brassicales; Caricaceae. The record is from RNAcentral.
GUAUCCUAGGACGAUCUUCACUAGCCUUUGAAGAGAGUCCGGGUGGUGAACUAUUUAUAACCCCUUUAUUAAUUGGGAUCUGGAUCUUGGUCCUCUUGAUCUGAAAUGGUUAAUGAAAAUGUGAGCUACACUAUCUAAGUAAGAAUAUCACACUACUCACCGAUACAGAAAUGAAGGUUGGUAAAAAUCAUAAAACAACCAAUAAAC